UGGGGAAUAUUGGACAAUGGGCGAAAGCCUGAUCCAGCCAUGCCGCGUGUGUGAAGAAGGUCUUCGGAUUGUAAAGCACUUUAAGUUGGGAGGAAGGGCAUUAACCUAAUACGUUAGUGUUUUGACGUUACCGACAGAAUAAGCACCGGCUAACUCUGUGCCAGCAGCCGCGGUAAUACAGAGGGUGCAAGCGUUAAUCGGAAUUACUGGGCGUAAAGCGCGCGUAGGUGGUUUGUUAAGUUGGAUGUGAAAUCCCCGGGCUCAACCUGGGAACUGCAUUCAAAACUGACUGACUAGAGUAUGGUAGAGGGUGGUGGAAUUUCCUGUG
RNAcentral lists this ribosomal RNA (328 nucleotides) under uncultured bacterium. Its description in RNAcentral is "partial 16S ribosomal RNA". It matches the Rfam family "Bacterial small subunit ribosomal RNA", at positions 355 to 675 of the family's 1533-position model. The record is from RNAcentral.